Molecule: ribosomal RNA, 505 nt
Filed under: uncultured bacterium
Lineage: Bacteria
Description: partial 16S ribosomal RNA
Rfam family: Bacterial small subunit ribosomal RNA
Source: RNAcentral
GACGAACGCUGGCGGCGUGCCUAAUACAUGCAGGUAGAACGCACAGUUUAUACCGUAGCUUGCUACACCAUAGACUGUGAGUUGCGAACGGGUGAGUAACGCGUAGGUAACGUGCCUGGUAGCGGGGGAUAACUAUCGGAAACGAUAGCUAAUACCGCAUAAUAUUAAUUAUUGCAUGAUAAUUAAUUGAAAGGUGCAAUUGCACCACUACCAGAUGGACCUGCGUUGUAUUAGCUAGUAGGUGAGGUAACGGCUCACCUAGGCGACGAUACAUAGCCGACCUGGGAGGGUGAUCGGCCACACUGGGACUGAGACACGGCCCAGACUCCUACGGGAGGCAGCAGUAGGGAAUCUUCGGCAAUGGACGAAAGUCUGACCGAGCAACGCCGCGUGAGUGAAGAAGGUUUUCGGAUCGUAAAGCUCUGUUGUAAGAGAAGAACGGGUGUGAGAGUGGAAAGUUCACACUGUGACGGUAUCUUACCAGAAAGGGACGGCUAACUACGUG